Molecule: ribosomal RNA, 492 nt
Filed under: uncultured bacterium
Lineage: Bacteria
Description: partial 16S ribosomal RNA
Rfam family: Bacterial small subunit ribosomal RNA
Source: RNAcentral
AGUGAACGCUGGCGGUAUGCCUAACACAUGCAAGUCGAACGGCAGCACAGUAAGAGCUUGCUCUUACGGGUGGCGAGUGGCGGACGGGUGAGGAAUACAUCGGAAUCUACUUUUUCGUGGGGGAUAACGUAGGGAAACUUACGCUAAUACCGCAUACGACCUACGGGUGAAAGCAGGGGAUCUUCGGACCUUGCGCGAUUGAAUGAGCCGAUGUCGGAUUAGCUAGUUGGCGGGGUAAAGGCCCACCAAGGCGACGAUCCGUAGCUGGUCUGAGAGGAUGACCAGCCACAAUGGAACUGAGACACGGUCCAGACUCCUACGGGAGGCAGCAGUGGGGAAUAUUGGACAAUGGGCGCAAGCCUGAUCCAGCCAUACCGCGUGGGUGAAGAAGGCCUUCGGGUUGUAAAGCCCUUUUGUUGGGAAAGAAAAGCAGCAGGUUAAUACGCCGCUGUUCUGACGGUACCCAAAGAAUAAGCACCGGCUAACUUCGUG